Long non-coding RNA from Morus notabilis, 479 nucleotides. RefSeq lists it as uncharacterized. The record is from RefSeq and is a predicted model, not a curated record. The transcript is spliced from 3 exons. NCBI's taxonomy places the organism in Eukaryota, Viridiplantae, Streptophyta, Magnoliopsida, Rosales, Moraceae.
GAAUGUCUACUAAUGUUUCUUCUUAAAUAUUCAGAGUAGGACACUUUCUAGGAGUUGCAGCAUCAUGGACUCUGCAGUAUUCAGAGGCCAGAACCUUGUUUUGUCUACUUAUGUUUCUUCUUUGAGAUUCGCCAAUUCUUAGUACAAGUGAAGCAUCUUCGGAAUGCAUCCUUUGUUUAAGUUAAUGGUAUAUGAUGCAAACUAAAGAAGAGGGUGGUGAAAUCAAAACACAAAAACAAGUGAAAUUGCAUCACUAGUUUUCGCUUCUGUGGAAGCAGGGGACUUGUGCCACCGUAUUUUUCUCUUCAACUAGAGAAUGGAUUGUUUCUGCAGGCUGCACUGUUGAUCUGUAAUGUUAGAGUUAAUGUUGCUGAUGUGCCGCAUAAUUUGGAUCUCAAAUGCCGAUUGCUCGAACUAUUAGUCAAUAUUGUCUUUUAUGUAGUUAUAUGAGAUUGUUGUAUCUGUAUAAAUAAGGGCAC